AGUCUCAUUCGGAUUGGAGUCUGCAACCCGACUCCAUGAAGCUGGAUUCGCUAGUAAUCGCGCAUCAGCCACGGCGCGGUGAAUACGUUCCCGGGCCUUGUACACACCGCCCGUCAAGCCAUGGAAGCCGGGAGUGCCUGAAGUACGCGACCGCAAGGAGCGUCCUAAGGUAAAACCGGUGACUGGGGCUAAGUCGUAACAAGGUACC
This 208-nucleotide ribosomal RNA is filed under the name uncultured bacterium. Its description in RNAcentral is "partial 16S ribosomal RNA". It matches the Rfam family "Bacterial small subunit ribosomal RNA", at positions 1284 to 1500 of the family's 1533-position model. The record is from RNAcentral.